GAGGAAUAUUGGUCAAUGGGUGCAAGCCUGAACCAGCCAUCCCGCGUGAAGGACGACUGCCCUAUGGGUUGUAAACUUCUUUUGUAUAGGGAUAAACCUACCCUCGUGAGGGUAGCUGAAGGUACUAUACGAAUAAGCACCGGCUAACUCCGUGCCAGCAGCCGCGGUAAUACGGAGGGUGCAAGCGUUAUCCGGAUUUAUUGGGUUUAAAGGGUCCGUAGGCGGACUUAUAAGUCAGUGGUGAAAGCCUGUCGCUUAACGAUAGAACUGCCAUUGAUACUGUAAGUCUUGAGUAUAUUUGAGGUAGCUGGAAUAAGUAGUGUAGCGGUGGAAUGCAUAGAUAUUACUUAGAACACCAAUUGCGAAGGCAGGUUACCAAGAUAUAACUGACGCUGAGGGGCGAAAGCGUGGGGAGCGAGC
Molecule: ribosomal RNA, 420 nt
Filed under: uncultured bacterium
Lineage: Bacteria
Description: bacterial SSU rRNA
Rfam family: Bacterial small subunit ribosomal RNA
Source: RNAcentral